Bombus huntii is the source of this 1436-nucleotide long non-coding RNA. RefSeq lists it as uncharacterized. The transcript is spliced from 2 exons. NCBI's taxonomy places the organism in Eukaryota, Metazoa, Arthropoda, Insecta, Hymenoptera, Apidae. The record is from RefSeq and is a predicted model, not a curated record.
GGAAGAACAACAUGAAGCACACCCAUUGGUAGUAAGUGUAAUAUUUCCUUGCAUCCACAUCGCCGAAGUCGUUCGCCACUCCUGGAUGCGCCACCUCUACACCGACCUGAUAAAAGGAACAAAUGUUCUGUCAACAAUAGGACGUAUCAGAAAUAUUGGUCAAAAGGGUAAUUAGCGUUACAAAUAUAUGACAAAAAAUGGAAAAAUUAAUAAUUAUUAAGAAAUUAUAUAUCAACUAUAUGAAUUAUUCUUAAUUAAGUAUCAUAACAAAGUUUCUGAAAAAUUACUUAAAUAAUAGUUAUUAUCGAUUAGGUAUUAUAAUAAAAUUUUUAGAAAAAUAUUUCUAUAUGUAGAUUAUGAUAUGAUAUGAUAUGAAUAGUAUGGAAAUCAUAUUUAUUAAAUAAUAUGAAGGAACAGAGAGAAGAGAUUAGUGGAAGAAAAUAAAAUUUCUUAUAAAAUCCUAAAAAUAUUCAUCAUGAUCAUCAAUACUCAUAAUAUUUAUUUAAAUUUUAAAUAAAACAUGGAUUAUGUUGAAAAUAUGUUAAAAUAUAUGUUCGAAAAUGUUUAUUCUUUUAAAUCAUCAUUAAAAAAUUAACUUAUAAAAACAUAAAAUGUCCAUCAUAAUAUUUAAAGUUUGAAUAAAUUCGUAUUAUGUUUAUGACUGAUUACUAAAUUUGCUUAAAAUUGGGAUUGACAUAAACAUUAUCAUAGAUUAUCACAUAUCAUAUCUCAAACAAGUUUUUGUUACAAGUCUAUAUACCAUUAUACAUAGUAUAUAGUAUUUUGUUAUACAUUAUACAUGUAUCUAGAAUUGUUUAUAUAUAGUAUGUCAUUUCCAAGAAUGAUCUUGUUCAUUCAACUCGCGUGAAUUUGCUAUUUAAAAAUAUAAACACAAUAUAUACAUAUAUUUUAUGUGAUGUGAGAGGUGGGGGGUGAACUUAAAAAUAUUUAAAAUCAUAAUUCGAAAAAUAUUCAUAACACUUAAUUUCUGUACAAUUAAAUAAACUCGUUAAAGUCUAAAUUAUUUGAUUUUUUAAUGUUAAAUAGGAUAAUUCCUUAACGUAGAUAGUAUUUAAUACAAGUACAACACAAGUACAAAUCUAAGUAUUUAUUUCAAAAAAAUAUUAUAGAACUACAAUAUGUAUUUACUGAAGGAGGAAGAUUUGUUUACAUAAUAAGAUUAUAAAUAUAGAAGAUACAAAAUUGAAUUGAAACUGUAAAAUUCAAACAAAUGUAACAAUCAUGAAAUUAUACAGAUUUAAAAAAAUUAUACAUGAGAUAACAUUUAUAACCCGAAAUGAUUUCGUCAUUCUAUAUUUUUAUAUAUAUUAACAGCGAUUUUAAUUAGAAAUAUCGAGUAGCUUUCAAACUAAUUAGAUAACAAUACAGCCUUUAAUAGGAAAAAAUUUUGUUUAAAAAAAAAUUAAAAAAAGAAA